GAUGAAGAACGCAGCGAAAUGCGAUAAGUAAUUUGAAUUGCAGAAUUCAGUGAAUCAUCGAAUCUUUGAACGCACAUUGCGCCCCUUGGUAUUCCGAGGGGCAUGCCUGUUCGAGCGUCAUUAUAACCCCUCAAGCUCAGCUUGGUGUUGGGGCCUGCUGCACUGGCAGCCCUUAAAAUCAGUGGCGGCGCCAUCUGGCUCUAAGCGUAGUAAUUCUUCUCGCUAUGGAGUCCUGGUGGAUGCUUGCCAUCAACCCCCAAUUUUUCUAUGGUUGACCUCGGAUCAGGUAGGGAUACCCACUGAACUUAAGCAUAUCAAUAAGCGGAGGA
Molecule: unclassified non-coding RNA, 329 nt
Filed under: soil metagenome
Description: partial contains 5.8S ribosomal RNA, internal transcribed spacer 2, and large subunit ribosomal RNA
Rfam family: 5.8S ribosomal RNA (bases 1-120)
Source: RNAcentral